GGUUGCCGUCGCAAUUGAGACCUUAUUGCUACGGAAAAUGUUCCGUCGCGAUUAAGUCUUAUCAUUUGCGACUGAAAAUUUUUGCCGUAGUAACUUUAUAAUGAAUUGCUACGCUUUUUCCUCUUGCCGUCGCAAAACUUGUUUCUAUUUCCCUCACUAACAUCCCGAUCUGCAGCCCUAAAUAAUCUCUCUCACCCAACGCUCUGUCUCUAUCACGCCCAAAUUCUCUCUGUCUCUCUUCUCGCCCAAGCUCGCCCAUGCCAAGCGCUCUCGCUCUCUAUCUCUUUCACGCCCAAACUCUCUCUCUGUCUCUCUUCUCACCCAAGCUCGCCCAUGCCAAGCGCUCUCUCUGUCUCUAUCUCUCUUGCCCAAGCUCCGCAGCGCCUUGAACAAGACAUAGUCGAGGUCCGAAAGAAUCGUCAGAGAGAAUAAGCUUUUGGGAAGAGAGUGGCGCCAGAUUCUUGAUGUUGGUUUAUGUAAAUUUCAAUUAUCAUCUUUCAGUUUUAGUCUUAAGAAGUUACUUUUCUGGAUUGAAUUGUUUUGAACGACCUUCAUACAUGCUAACCUACUACAUCAUAGUUUCACACUAUUUAUACUACGCAUGACAUCCAAUAAUCACUAACAGUGGCUGGUUGGCAACCAGACUGCUAAUCUUAGAACUUUUUCCUGUCUGAUGGAAUGUGCAGAGUGGUUCCCUUUCCUUCGUCACGAACCAUGACUCAAUAUUUGAGGUCGAGGCCUCAAGCUUCCAGCAAGUGAUGAUGUUUCUACUUCCAUGGCCAUCUAGCUGAGUGUUUUCAGGUUUUCUAAGCAUCUUUUUGUGAAAGAUUCUUGAUUCUCUUGAAUUGAUUCAUGUGUCCAGGGUAUAUAUACUUACCCUCAUUGUCAAUGGAAUGGGAGAUAACUAACUUGGUCUGAGAGAUUUAGACUUUUGAUACUUAUCUUUAAGUGUCUAUGGCUCUAUGGCAUCAAGCUUUCUAGGAUAAGAUCUAGAAAACACCCUUCCAUAACAUCCUCUUUCAUUAGCUCGUUGAACUUUAGCACCUUUAGGUUGUUGGUCAUCCGUUUUACCAUGGUAGAUUAUAACUGCAAACUUCUGUGUUUUGGAUAAAAACCUGUAUGUUCUACUCUGUAAUUGCCUGUGCUUAUGGCUAGGGGGUAAAUCAAACAAGUUUAUCUUUAGUUAUAGUUUGAAUGUCAUGAACAUGACACAUAAUGCAGACAAUCUUAAUUUCUGUAAUUGUUUUCUUGUCUAUGACAUGCAAACUAUAUAGGUAAUAUAUGACUAAAGCUUUGACAAUCAUAAGUAUUAUGAUUGUGGUCGCCAUUUUUUUUUUGUUUUUAUGGUGAUGUGCGUAAAAAAAAAAAAAAAGGCUAGCUUGGCUUAAAAUCAUAUAGCAUAUUGUUAAGGUCACUCUAUAACUAUCGUUGUUGUUUGAUCGGUGGGUUUCACAAAUUCAAUGCUAACUCAGGAAUUGUUCUCUGUUGUUAACAGUUAAAAGGGUCUCUUAGAGUCCGGUUAUAGGAUGACAUCUUCUGUUAACAAUAGUAAUUGACAAUGUAUGUGCAGAGCUUGCAUGGAAAGGCAGCUUCAUAAUAAAUAUAUUUUGUGCACAAACAGUAAAGGGUAGAAGAAACUGUUUCAUGUAUUUUUCCCUUCUUAAAGGUAACGAGUGUUGGAAUCAAUACUGAAUGGGGAUUGUUGAUGGCAAGUAUAUCUCUGAGGAUACCUAUAAAGAAACUCUUCUACAGAUUUAUGUUCUUUCCAAUUUCUGACCUGAAACUGUUGAGGAUGCUAGCUAAUGAAGGUCCUGCAGUGUUGUGUUCCUUGCAAUCUUUGACCUGAAACUGUUGAGGAAGCUAGCAAAUGAAGGCGUUACAGUGUUGGGGUUGCCUUGACUAGUCUUUUUUUUUUUUUUGGAUUUGUGAUUUUUGGUUGGUGUAAGAAUGAUAGAUAUUGUAUUUUGAUAUUUGUCAAUUUAUAAUAUUUGUGGAACAUGGCACUUG
Molecule: long non-coding RNA, 2007 nt
Organism: Rosa chinensis
Lineage: Eukaryota; Viridiplantae; Streptophyta; Magnoliopsida; Rosales; Rosaceae
Exons: 4
Source: RefSeq, a predicted model, not a curated record